This 60-nucleotide transfer RNA is filed under the name Clostridioides difficile. Its description in RNAcentral is "tRNA-Lys". It matches the Rfam family "tRNA", at positions 7 to 64 of the family's 71-position model. From Rfam's summary of the family: Transfer RNA (tRNA) molecules are approximately 80 nucleotides in length. Lineage: Bacteria; Bacillati; Bacillota; Clostridia; Peptostreptococcales; Peptostreptococcaceae. The record is from RNAcentral.
UUAGCUCAGUCGGUAGAGCACCUGACUUUUAAUCAGGGUGUCCCGCGUUCGAGUCGCGGA